This 24-nucleotide non-coding RNA is filed under the name Arabidopsis thaliana (thale cress). The record is from RNAcentral. Lineage: Eukaryota; Viridiplantae; Streptophyta; Magnoliopsida; Brassicales; Brassicaceae.
CCUUAUGUUGUGCAAUGUAGAUGC